RNAcentral lists this ribosomal RNA (354 nucleotides) under Salmonella enterica subsp. enterica. RNAcentral's name for it is "bacterial SSU rRNA". It matches the Rfam family "Bacterial small subunit ribosomal RNA", at positions 78 to 435 of the family's 1533-position model. Lineage: Bacteria; Pseudomonadati; Pseudomonadota; Gammaproteobacteria; Enterobacterales; Enterobacteriaceae. The record is from RNAcentral.
UGCUGCUUCGCUGACGAGUGGCGGACGGGUGAGUAAUGUCUGGGAAACUGCCUGAUGGAGGGGGAUAACUACUGGAAACGGUGGCUAAUACCGCAUAACGUCGCAAGACCAAAGAGGGGGACCUUCGGGCCUCUUGCCAUCAGAUGUGCCCAGAUGGGAUUAGCUUGUUGGUGAGGUAACGGCUCACCAAGGCGACGAUCCCUAGCUGGUCUGAGAGGAUGACCAGCCACACUGGAACUGAGACACGGUCCAGACUCCUACGGGAGGCAGCAGUGGGGAAUAUUGCACAAUGGGCGCAAGCCUGAUGCAGCCAUGCCGCGUGUAUGAAGAAGGCCUUCGGGUUGUAAAGUACUU